This 375-nucleotide unclassified non-coding RNA is filed under the name soil metagenome. Its description in RNAcentral is "partial contains 5.8S ribosomal RNA, internal transcribed spacer 2, and large subunit ribosomal RNA". The stretch from base 1 to 120 matches the Rfam family "5.8S ribosomal RNA", at positions 35 to 154 of the family's 154-position model. The record is from RNAcentral.
GAUGAAGAACGCAGCGAAAUGCGAUAAGUAAUGUGAAUUGCAGAAUUCAGUGAAUCAUCGAAUCUUUGAACGCAUCUUGCGCUCCUUGGUAUUCUGAGGAGCAUGCCUGUUUGAGUGUCAUUAAAUUCUCAACUACACUGACUUUGAAUUGGUGUGGCUUGGAUUUGGGGGGAAAAUUGUUGUGGGCUUUUUGUAUAGUCUGCUCCCCUGAAAUUGAUUAGCGGUACCUUUGUGGAACUGUCUACAGGUGUGAUAAUUAUCUACAUCUUAGACAUCUGCUGGAAUGCUGCUCUCUAAACCUUACUUGUAUUGACAAUCUUGACCUCAAAUCAGGUAGGACUACCCGCUGAACUUAAGCAUAUCAAAAGCGGAGGA